This 485-nucleotide ribosomal RNA is filed under the name uncultured bacterium. RNAcentral describes it as "partial 16S ribosomal RNA". It matches the Rfam family "Bacterial small subunit ribosomal RNA", at positions 899 to 1397 of the family's 1533-position model. The record is from RNAcentral.
ACUCAAAGGAAUAGACGGGGGCCCGCACAAGCGGUGGAGCAUGUGGUUUAAUUCGACGACAAGCGAAGAACCUUACCGAGGCUUGACAUCCUGGGAACCCUGCAGAAAUGCGGGGGUGCCUUCGGGAACCCAGUGACAGGUGUUGCAUGGCCGUCGUCAGCUCGUGUCGUGAGAUGUUGGGUUAAGUCCCGCAACGAGCGCAACCCUUGUCGCGUGUUGUAUUUUUCACGCGAGACUGCCCUGGUAACGGGGAGGAAGGUGGGGAUGACGUCAGGUCAGCAUGGCCCUUACGCCUCGGGCCACACACGUGCUACAAUGGCCGGUACAAUGGGUUUGCCAAGCCGCAAGGCGGAGCUAAUCCCAUCAAAACCGGUCUCAGUUCGGAUUGAGGGCUGCAACUCGCCCUCAUGAAGCUGGAAUCGCUAGUAAACGUGGGUCAGCACACCACGUUGAAUACGUUCCCGGGCCUUGUACACACCGCCCGU